UCCGGAAAUGGAGCCGGGUGCCAGCCAGGCUCUGUGCAGCCAAAUUGGCACCGUGGCUGCUCCGGGAGGCCGCCAGGGCGGACUGUCCCCUUGCUGCGCUGACACCAGCUCCCAUCGCGAUGGGCCCGAUGACAAACAGGAAUCACUUCUAAGGAAUGUUUUAGCCGAGCUCUUUCGUCACUUCAGCAGGGGGCCCCGCGGGCCGGAUAGACUGGGCUACAGGGCCGCAUCUGGCCCGCGGGCCGCAUUUUGCCCACCCCGAUGUAUUGAGAAGCACCAACGUAGCAGCCAUCCAUCGGGGUCGAGCCCCUAAAAAGGAAGACUCUGAGGUUUUGAGUGACCCUGUUUUGUUUCGAGGACUGGGAAUUCAGUGCAAGAAACCCCCAAAACGGGCUUUCCCCCAACUCGAUCCAAAAGCAGGCAAGAACAACCAAAAAAUAAAAAGAUCAAAGUCCUUAAAAUGAAAAAAAUAAUAGUAAUAAAAGCCUGUUGCCUGCA
Molecule: long non-coding RNA, 498 nt
Organism: Alligator sinensis (Chinese alligator)
Lineage: Eukaryota; Metazoa; Chordata; Crocodylia; Alligatoridae
Exons: 3
Source: RefSeq, a predicted model, not a curated record